AGAACGAACGCUGGCGGCAUGCCUAACACAUGCAAGUCGAACGCUUUUGGGGCUUCGGUCCCAAAGGAGUGGCGCACGGGUGAGUAGCGCGUGGGAACCUGCCCUGUUGUGGGGGAUAACCGAGGGAAACUUCGGCUAAUACCGCAUACGCCCGGGGGAAACUCCGGGGAAAGAUUUAUCGCAGCAGGAGGGGCCCGCGUCGGAUUAGGUAGUUGGUGGGGUAACGGCCCACCAAGCCUGUGAUCCGUAGCUGGUCUGAGAGGAUGAUCAGCCACACUGGGACUGAGACACGGCCCAGACUCCUACGGGAGGCAGCAGUGGGGAAUAUUGGACAAUGGGCGCAAGCCUGAUCCAGCAAUGCCGCGUGAGUGAUGAAGGCCUUCGGGUUGUAAAGCUCUUUCGCACGCGACGAUGAUGACGGUAGCGUGAGAAGAAGCCCCGGCUAACUUCGUGCCAGCAGCCG
This 463-nucleotide ribosomal RNA is filed under the name uncultured bacterium. RNAcentral's name for it is "SSU rRNA". It matches the Rfam family "Bacterial small subunit ribosomal RNA", at positions 26 to 517 of the family's 1533-position model. The record is from RNAcentral.